AAGCCGGGUUUACCCGGUGAGGCGCAAUGUUGCGGGGGCUUGAGCCCCGGCGGCAUAGGUUGCUGGAUAGAGAAAACCCCCGCACGUUGACUGGUAUAAACCUGGCAACCUGACGGGGGCUA
Molecule: small RNA, 122 nt
Filed under: Salmonella enterica subsp. enterica serovar Typhi
Lineage: Bacteria; Pseudomonadati; Pseudomonadota; Gammaproteobacteria; Enterobacterales; Enterobacteriaceae
Description: StyR-207
Source: RNAcentral